CGUAGCUCAGUUGGAUAGAGCGUCCGCCUCCUAAGCGGAAGGUCGUUGGUUCAAAUCCAAUC
This 62-nucleotide transfer RNA is filed under the name bovine gut metagenome. It matches the Rfam family "tRNA", at positions 7 to 64 of the family's 71-position model. From Rfam's summary of the family: Transfer RNA (tRNA) molecules are approximately 80 nucleotides in length. Their secondary structure includes four short double-helical elements and three loops (D, anti-codon, and T loops). The record is from RNAcentral.